UACAGAGGGGGCAAGCGUUAUUCGGAAUUAUUGGGCGUAAAGGGCGCGUAGGCGGCCUGGCAAGUGGAAGGUGAAAUCCCUCGGCUUAACCGAGGAACUGCCCUCCAAACUGCUUGGCUUGAGACCGGGAGAGGUGAGUGGAAUUCCCAGUGUAGCGGUGAAAUGCGUAGAUAUUGGGAGGAACACCAGUGGCGAAGGCGGGUCUCUGGACAGUUCCUGACGCUGAGGCACGAAGGUCAGGGGAGCAAACGGG
RNAcentral lists this ribosomal RNA (253 nucleotides) under uncultured bacterium. Its description in RNAcentral is "partial 16S ribosomal RNA". It matches the Rfam family "Bacterial small subunit ribosomal RNA", at positions 524 to 776 of the family's 1533-position model. The record is from RNAcentral.